RNAcentral lists this long non-coding RNA (3203 nucleotides) under Nicotiana tabacum (common tobacco). Its description in RNAcentral is "long non-coding RNA (NTAB_LNC016673)". The record is from RNAcentral. Lineage: Eukaryota; Viridiplantae; Streptophyta; Magnoliopsida; Solanales; Solanaceae.
UUUCUCUUUCUCAAGAACAACAUGUGUUAAUGCUUCUCUCUUCAAGUUAUCUAAGUUUUCUCUCUCUACUUUCCAUUUGGAAUCUCUUGAUCAACCACUAUUUGGUUAGUUUUUUUGGGUUAUCGAAUAAUUAAAUCUAAAGUUUCAGUUUUUAUACUUAUAAAAGAAUAUUGUAAAUUUGAUUGUUUAGAGCUUUCUCUUUUUAAUUAAUCUCGUGAAAGUGCAUGCAUUUAGUUCCCAGAAGGAAUGCCUUUUUUGUGGGUUUUGCUGGAUUUUAUUUAUAUAAUCAUUGAUCACCAUUUUUUAAUAUCUGGCUCUAAUUUAGGGUUUAUUUUGGAUAUUUAUGUAGGGAUCUCCAGUUGGUGAAAUUAUAUAACAAAAAUUUGUGCUAUAAUUAUCGGCGACACGGCGAAAGAAUCGAUUUUCCUGAUGGUAAAAAGGUAAGCUUUUGGAUUUAUCAUAUACUCCAUUUGUUCCAGUUUACGUGAAACUAUUUUUUUUGGUCCGUUCCAAAAAUAAUGUACUUUACUAAAUUUGGUAAUAAUUUAGCUUAAACUUACAAUUCUAACCACAAAAAUAAUCUGGGCCUUUUUUUAUUUGUUUAGGACCAUAAAUUCCAAAAGUCUUAUUUUUUCUUAAACUAUGUGCUCACUCAAACAAUUUCACGUAAAUUGGAACGGAGUUCUUCAAUUAGUGAGUUGCAUGUGUUUGUGUAUCAGUUGCAUGCUAAUUUUCCCUCAAUAAUUCUUAAAGAUUAGUUUUUUUAUAUGUCUAUUUCUGGGUUUAUGCACAAAUUUAGUUUCCUUUUUGUCAAUACCAAAGUUCCAAUUUAGCUGUUCAUAUUAUCGAUGUUUCUAGCUGUUUGAGUGAUUAUAAAGGAACGUACUUCUCAAUGGUGACCAGUAUGGUAACCAGUUGGUCUCACAUUAAUGUUUCAGCUCUUUUUAAUUUGUUGCUUAAAACUCUGUGGUCGCUUAAACAACAUAGUCAAAUUUUGCUUUAAGCUUUUUGUCCUUUUUAUUUCGUAAUUUUAAGUUGUUUGAUGCUAUAUUUUUAGCCAUUACAACAAUUGCAAGAUAGAUUCUCAGCUGAGAAGAGUCUUUGUUCAACUGCUUUUGCUCGGAGAUACUUAAUUCCACUCCAGAUUAAAAGUGGGGAUUGUUGGAUGAUUGUCCCUGUUAUCUGCAUAUGUACCUUACCUUCUCAGUCUUCUUUUUCUUAAGUAAAUCCAUAUAAAUCUUUGCGCGUUCCCAUUCUAAACAUGUUCUCUCACUGGCCACGAUCGAGAGGUCUUUUCCUCAUUGCUGCGUUCCCAUUCUAAAUAUGUUCUCUCACUGGCCACGAUCGAGAGGUCUUUUCCUCAUUGCGUUGAGUGAUAUCAAUUAUCUUUUCAAGCAGUAUCUGAGCUCCACUGGAAUGAUUCAAUCAUAUUCUGAACCAUGUUUGUUGUGGCAAUGAGGAGACAGAUGUUUGGACAGAUUAUUUUGGAUCCAAAGGAAAAUCUAAUGUUCCACAUCUAUUCUCAAAAGCUAACUAUCUUGACUUUGGACUGUGAGGACACAUACUUUAUAAAAUGGUUCAUCCAUGUUUGUUGCCAAGAGCAACAUUAUGUAGAUAUAGGAUUCGGCUUAAUUUAUGAUCUUUACAUUUAAGUCAAUUAAGAUUCUUCUCUUUUUGACAAAGUCCAAGGAUAGAUCACUUAAGAUACUGUAUGAGGAUUGAAGUAUUCAGGGUCGUUUGGGGGCAGGGGAAUAGAUUGAAUAUACUUAGAAGAGACAAAUAUUAAAAGUUCAAUAUUUUGCCCCCAGGUCUUAGUUCAAGUGGCAAAGGUUGAGGGGCUUGUGACUUAGGUCAUAGGUUCGAGCCCUGCGCUAUGCGAAUUAGUAUUUAAGUGGAGAAGUGUAGAGGGGCGGGCCCAUUAUCCCCGAGUUUCAUAGGCUGCGGUGGUCCUAAGGGUUGGCCUUAGACAGAUUUCCGGUCAUCAAAAAAAAAUGUUCAAUGUUUUUCCUUAUUUCUCGGGAUCGUGGUUCUAAUCUUGCUUACGACUAUGCGGGAGAAGCCUGCUGUGCCGAUUAGGAGUGGGGAAGUUAAGUCUUUUCUGCUUUCUAUUACUUUUCUGUGAGUUUUCGUAUCUGGUUUUUUAGUGCAGGUUGACUUUUGUAAAUGAUGUAAAUGACAUACUAGAUAUACUAAAAGAUCUACACUAUCUGUAAUAUCUUCUAGCACCUUCUUAUUGCCGUUUUUUGUCAAUAUUGUCUUUCUUUAACUAUAAAAACAAUUCCUAUCUGGUUGACUUUUCUAAAGCUUUUUGUUCAAUGAGCUCAACUGGGAAAGAAAGACAAAUCUUCAUAGAGCUAGCUCAACUUCAUGAUAAAAGGUUUGAACUAAAAGACGGUCUGUAUGCUACCAUGGCAGCUCUUAAGCCUUUCUAUGAGAGGUUGAUGGAAGGAAGAUAACUUUGGGGUUCCAAAGAAAGCCCUCAAUGGGAGGAUACUCACCUUUAGCUGACGAGUUUUUAUCCCAUGAAUGAUGGAGCACUCCUUACGUGGAUGCUACUUGUUGGAUCUUUUGCUACUAUUUGUAGUGUUUAUUAAUAGCUUCGCAAAUUCAGCUUAACUUGUAGAGGAGAUGAGAUAUUUUUGGUAGCUGAUAGGUACUCCUAUCCUACCCAAUGCUUUCUUAUCACAUCUGAUUGAUUAUGCUAAAGUUUCUUAUCUUCUCUUUGAGUAUUUUUUUUAAGUGCAAAAGAUUUUGCUGUGUGAAUGCAAAGUUAGAAGUCUCCUUUUCCCUUGCUGGGGUCGCUCUCAUCACUUCCAUGUGGAAUUUUGUAGACCUCAAGGCUCUAUUAGGUUUUUGACUGGCUAAGGGAGUAAAGGUGGCCUUUUCGCAAAUCGCAACGGUGAAUGUGUGAAGUUUUAUCUGGGUUGUCAAUUUUUUCACAACUUCUACUCUAAAAGACAUAUGUAACCAAUGAAAGAAGGUUACUCUUUCAUGUUUACCUUUAUCUAGUCCAGCAGGAUGUCUUAAGGAAGGAGGUCUUGGCAUGUUAACUUGUACUUAGGGAAAAAUAUCUGUCAAAAAGAGCCUAUUUGCUAUGAAACUUUUGCAUAAUAUUUCGAAGUGUGAUUAGGCAAUAGACACUAAUGUAGUUUCCAUUUCUCUGUCUCUUCUUUCAGAUAGAUGGCAACAUGUUUUGAGCGGAG